GAUGAACGCUGGCGGCGUGCCUAAUACAUGCAAGUCGAGCGAACGGACGAGAAGCUUGCUUCUCUGAUGUUAGCGGCGGACGGGUGAGUAACACGUGGAUAACCUACCUAUAAGACUGGGAUAACUUCGGGAAACCGGAGCUAAUACCGGAUAAUAUCUUGAACCGCAUGGUUCAAAAGUGAAAGACGGUCUUGCUGUCACUUAUAGAUGGAUCCGCGCUGCAUUAGCUAGUUGGUAAGGUAACGGCCUACCAAGGCAACGAUGCAUAGCCGACCUGAGAGGGUGAUCGGCCACACUGGAACUGAGACACGGUCCAGACUCCUACGGGAGGCAGCAGUAGGGAAUCUUCCGCAAUGGGCGAAAGCCUGACGGAGCAACGCCGCGUGAGUGAUGAAGGUCUUCGGAUCGUAAAACUCUGUUAUUAGGGAAGAACAUAUGUGUAAGUAACUGUGCACAUCUUGACGGUACCUAAUCAGAAAGCCACGGCUAACUACGUG
RNAcentral lists this ribosomal RNA (497 nucleotides) under uncultured bacterium. RNAcentral's name for it is "partial 16S ribosomal RNA". It matches the Rfam family "Bacterial small subunit ribosomal RNA", at positions 28 to 507 of the family's 1533-position model. The record is from RNAcentral.